GACUUAUCUGAAAAUUUAUCUUUUAUUAAUUCAAAGGAAGAAUCGGUUUCAACUAUUUUAUCUAGCAAAUCAAUUACCGAAUAGUUUUCCUCCCUCUGAUUAUAUUCUGAGGCUUUAAAAAUAUUAAUUUUCACCUUUUGAUCCCCAAAAGAAAUGUCGAUCGCUCCUAUUUUAAAAUUAAUGUUGGCAUUGGCAGUGGCUAGGAAUAGUUAUCCUAAUAUUAUGGGAUUUUGAUUCAGCUCUUGGGAUGGUUCCAUAUCAAGUAUGAGGAAGUCUACUGAAAAAUAGUAUGUAUUGACUUUAACUAUAACAUCCUCAAUC
This 321-nucleotide long non-coding RNA is filed under the name Elaeis guineensis (African oil palm). RNAcentral describes it as "long non-coding RNA (EGUI_LNC065332)". Lineage: Eukaryota; Viridiplantae; Streptophyta; Magnoliopsida; Arecales; Arecaceae. The record is from RNAcentral.